UUUUGACAAACGCUGCAUUUUUUAUAAUGUAGAGGAAAGUCCAUGCUCGCACUGUCUGAGAUGAUAGUAGUGUUCGUGCUUAGGGAAAAAAUAACCUAAGGUAAGUUUUACUUAACGGCUUCGAAAUAACCUAAGUCUUUUGAUAUGGUUAGAGUAGAUAUAAAAGUGCCAUAGUGACGAAUAAGACAGAAAUGUUGGAAAUGGAACGCGGUAAACCCCACGAGCGAGAAACCCAAAUUUUGGUAGGGGAGCUUAAACGAAGGAAUCAAACGGAGUUUAGGAAGGGAAACCUUAGAUAAAUGUUUGUCGCCUGGUAACAGGAACGGAACAUGGCUUAUAA
This 340-nucleotide RNase P RNA is filed under the name human gut metagenome. RNAcentral's name for it is "Bacterial RNase P class B". It matches the Rfam family "Bacterial RNase P class B". Rfam says of the family: Ribonuclease P (RNase P) is a ubiquitous endoribonuclease, found in archaea, bacteria and eukarya as well as chloroplasts and mitochondria. Its best characterised activity is the generation of mature 5'-ends of tRNAs by cleaving the 5'-leader elements of precursor-tRNAs. The record is from RNAcentral.